RNAcentral lists this ribosomal RNA (426 nucleotides) under uncultured bacterium. Its description in RNAcentral is "bacterial SSU rRNA". It matches the Rfam family "Bacterial small subunit ribosomal RNA", at positions 354 to 796 of the family's 1533-position model. The record is from RNAcentral.
AUUAGGAAUCUUGCGCAAUGGGGGAAACCCUGACGCAGCGACACCGCGUGCAGGACGAAGGCUUUCGAGUCGUAAACUGCUUUUAUAAGUGAAGAAUAUGACGGUAGCUUAUGAAUAAGCUUCGGCUAACUCCGUGCCAGCAGCCGCGGUCAGACGGAGGAAGCAAGCGUUGUCCGGAAUUAUUGGGCGUAAAGAGCUCGUAGGCGGCUCAUCAAGUCGGCUGUGAAAUCCCGAGGCUCAACCUCGGAACUGCAGUCGAUACUGUUGUGGCUAGAGUCUGGUAGAGGAGAAUGGAAUUCCCGGUGUAGCGGUGAAAUGCGCAGAUAUCGGGAGGAACACCAGUAGCGAAGGCGGUUCUCUGGGCCAGUACUGACGCUGAGGAGCGAAAGCGUGGGGAGCAAACAGGAUUAGAUACCCGAGUAGUCC